GUGACAGCGGCGGAGCAGAAGGCAUAAUCCCUGACUGUUGCACAUUGCAGGUGCAACGUGCUGGCGCGACGCAGCACGCUAUGCAACUCCUGCUGGGCAGAUGGAACUGCGCUCUGGCAACUACUGGGCGUCUCACAAUGCUGGCAUGACGAAGAGUGUCGCCAAUGGUGUUGAAGGCGUCGGCGCUCAUUUGCGCUGGAGGCUGACCGAAGAGGAAAGCAUCGAAUUGUGAAGACUCCAGAACGACACCUACAGCCAUGGCAUCCUCAUGCAUCGGAUCCGCCCGACGCUUCACACCUACAACUGACCGAUCUGCGACGUGCUCUACACAUUGGCGCGUCUACUACUCGAAUACCCGUGACACCACGAAGACGCCGGUACCAAGCCUGCAAUGACCGAAGACGUGAAUCUCUUCUCCGAGACGACGUGGGAGGCCCCCUCCCGGACUUGGACGACUAACGACGACUUAUCGCCAGAGUCCAGGAGGCGAUUGCGGCCAAAGGGUUCCUGGAAUGAGGUACCCUCUCCCCUCGGGUGACCCCGACCUCAA
Molecule: non-coding RNA, 550 nt
Organism: Dermacentor andersoni
Lineage: Eukaryota; Metazoa; Arthropoda; Arachnida; Ixodida; Ixodidae
Source: RefSeq, a predicted model, not a curated record